GCGUGAGCCACCAUGCCUGGCCUAAUUACUGUAGGUUUCUAAUAAGCCUUUAAGUAAAAUAAUGUCAGUCCUUCAAAUUUGUUCUCCUUCAAUAUUGCAUUUCUGUUCUGGUACUUUUACUUGUAUGUUAACUUUAGAAUCAGCUUAUUGAUAUCCACAAAAUAACUUGCUGGAAUUUUUAUUUGGAUUGUUUUGAAUCUAAAAUUCAAAUUAGAAAAAAGUGACAUACUGAAAACAUUGAGUUUUUCUAUCCACUAACAUGAAAUGCCUCUCCAUUUAAUUUUUCUUUAGUUUUUAAAAUCAGAGUUCUGUAAAUUUUCUCACAUAGACUUUGCACACAUUUUUAGAUUUAUAUUAAGUACUUCAUUUUGAGAGAGCAGGUAUUUUCAAUGGUAAUGUGUUUUUAAUUUCAAAUCCCAUUUGUUUAUUAUUGUUAUAUAGGAAAGCAGUUGACUAAUUUUUAUUGUGGUAAUAAAACACAUAACAUUACAUUAUUAAAUGUAUUUUGUUAAUAUUUUUAGUAUAUAGUUCAAUAGUGUUUAUUAUUACAUGGUUGCAUAGCAAAUUGCUACAACUUUUUCAUCUUACAAAACUGAAACUCUAUACCCACUAAAUACUAAUUCCUCUUACACCCUCCAUCACCCAGUUCCCACUCAUGACAAAAACCUUUCCACUUUCUGCCUCUGUGAUCUUUAUUUCUUUCAAUACUUCAUAUGAAUGGAAUCAUUCAGUACUUGACUUUUUGUGACUGGCUUAUUUCACUUAGCAUAACGUUCUGGAGGUUCAUCCAUAUGGUAGUAUGUGACAGAAUUUUUUUCUUUUUUAGGGCUGAAUAACAUAACUUUGUGUGUAUAUAUCAUGUUUCUUCAUCUAUUCAUCUGUCAGUGAACAUUUGGGUUGCUUCUACCUCUUGGCCAUUGUGAAUAAUGCUGAGAUGAACAUGAGUGUGCAAAUAUUUCUGUGAGAUCCUACUUUAAAUUCUUUUGGAUAUAUGACUAGAAGUGGGAUUUCCAUAUCACAUGCUAAUUCCAUUUUCUAAUUUUUUGAGGAAACUUCAUAUUCUUUUCAUAGUACUUGAAUUAAUUUAAAUUCCCACCAACAGUGUGCAAGUGUUUCAAUUUCUCCACGUUUUAACACUUGUAAUUUUCUGUAAUUUUUAUACUGACAAUUUAUUUCUAAAAUUGGUAUUUUCUUAAUUUCUUUUGCUGAUUGGUCUUUGUUAGUGUACAGAAACACUUAAUAUUUCGUCUGUUAAUUUUGUAUCCUGAAACAUUGCUGAAAUUGUUUGUUGUAACAGUUUUUCGUGGAUUUUUUUUAGGUUUUUCUACAUACUAAAUUAUAUCAUCUGCACACAGAUAUAAUUUUACAUUUCCUUGUCCAAUUUGUAUGCUUUUUAUUUAUUUUCCUUUUUCUUUAUUUUUCUUCUCUGCAUAGGAUUGAUAGUUUGCAAUGUUUUUAUCAUGAAUAGUGUGGAUUUUGUGAAAUGGUUUUUCUGUGUCUAUUAAUAUGAUCAUAUGAUUUUUUUUCUUUGGCCUGUUGAUGUGAUGAAUUAAAUGAAUUCGUUUUCAAAUGUUGAAAUUUCCUCGCAUACCUGAGAAAAAUUCCAUUUGGUCAUGGUUUUCAAUUAUGUAUACAUUAUUAGAUUUGAUUUACUAAAAUGUUGUUGACAAUUUUGCAUCUAUGUACGGGAGAUAUUAGUCUCUAAUUUCCUUUUUUUAAGAAUGUCUUCAUCUGAUUUUGGUAUUACGGUGAUCCUCUUCUUAUAGAAUGGGUUAAGAAGUGCUCUCUCUGCUUUUAUCUUCUGAACAAGAUUGCAGAGAAUUAGUAAAAUUUCUUCCCUAAAUGUUUCCUGGAAUGCACCUGUGAAUCCGUAUGAGCCUGGUGAUUUCUGUUUUGAAGGGCAUUUAUUAUUGAUUCUAUUUCAUUAGUAGAUAUAGGCUAUCCAGAGUGUCUACUUCUUUUUGUGUCACUUUUGGUAGAUUGUGUCUUUCAGGGAAUAGGUAGAUGUCAUCUAGGUUAACGAAUGUGUUGACACAGUACAGCUAUUUCAAAUAUUCUUUUAUUAUCUUUUUAAUAUCCAUGAGAUCUUCAGUAAUAUACCCUCUUUCAUUUAUGAUAUUGGUAAUUGCUCCCUUCUCUUUUUAUCUUAGUUAGCCUGGCUAGAGAUUUAUUAAUUUUAUUGAUCUUAAUGAAUCAGACUUUAGUGUCAUUGAUUUUCUCUAUUGAUUUUUUAAUUUUCAUUUUUAUUGAUUUCUGAUCUACAGUUUAUUAUGUCUUUCAUUCUGCAUACUUUAGAUCUAAUUUGUUCUUUUUCUUUCCAGUUUUCUACGGUGUAACCUUAGACUGUUAAUUUAAGAUCAUUCUUCUUUUAUAAAUUCUUCUUUUAUAAAUCUACAAAUUCCCUCUAAGUAUGCUUUUGUUAUUUCCCAUGAAUUUAGUUGUGUUUUCAUUUUGAUUUAAUUCAAAAUAUGUAUUAAUUUGUCCUGAGAUUUCUUCUUUGACUCAUGUGUUAUUUAGAAGUGUGUUGCUUAAUCUCUAAGUAUUUUGGAAUUUUCCAACUAUCAUUUUUAUUGAUUUCUAGUUUAAUUCCAUUGUGAUUUCAGAGUAGGCAUUGAAUAAUUUAUAUUAUUUUAAUUCUGUGAAGCUGUUUCCAUGGUCCAGAAUAUGGUCUAUUUUGAUGAUUAUUUAAUGUGACCUUGAGAAUAAUAUGUAUUCUACUGUGUUAGAUAAAGUAGUCUACAGAUAUCAAUUUUAUCGAGUUGGUUUAUCAUGCUAUUGAGUUCAACCAUGUUGUUACUGAAAGUCUGACUAUGUUACACCUUUUAAAGUUGUCUAUGGUUCUUAGAUACUUUGUUCUUUUUUUCUUCUUUGCUUUUCAAUUUUGGAAGUUCCUACUGACAUCUUCAAGUUCAGAGAUUCCUUCCUCACUCAUGUUCAGUGUACUAAUGCCCAUCAAAGGCUUUCUUUGUUUCUGUGUUUUUUAUCUCUAGCCGUUUUUUAAAAUUCUUUCUUAGAGUUUUCAUUUCUCUUUCUGCACUAUUUAUCUGUUAUCACGUUGUCUACUUUGUACAUUAGAGCCCUUAUUAAUCUUAGUAUUUUUAAAUUGAUGGUCUGAUAAUUCCGACAUCCCUGCCAUUUUUGAGACUGGUUCUGAAUCUUGCUCUUUCUUUAAACUGUGUUUAAAUUGCCUUGCAAUUUUUUUCUGGAUAUCCUGACAUGAAGGAGGGCACAGGGAACUGCAGUAAAUAAGUCUUUAGGGAUGUGGUGGUGAAGUGGAGAGAAGGGGCUGUUUUGUAGUCCUAUAAUUAACUUGCAGUCUUUUUAGUGAGCCUAUGCCCCUGAACCAUAAAAUUCAUCAGUGCUUCUCAGUCCUCCUCCCACUCAAAAGUAGGACCAGAUGGCUGAGGCGGAGGGGGUGGCUAGAGUUGUGUAUUUCCCUUCUCUCAUUUGAAAGGCUAGAACAGGCUGAAUUUGACUAUUUCCUUUCACCCAUGUGAAAGCUAGAGAGGGCUGGAUUUGCUUUAUGUACUUCCUCAGGUCAGCUGGGCUCUGAUAAAAUCGCAAUAGGUUACGCUCUGGUGAAAUAUUUUCUCUUGAGGGCAGGCCUCGUUAAGAAGAAUAGAAUGCUCUGGGGUAUUUAAAAGUGAGUACAUUUUUACCAUGCUGGAAACACCAGGGAAUUUUCUCGCAUCUGCACUGUAAAAACCUGAUAGAGAGCUCUAAGAAGUAAAGCUCACAAAAGUGUCAGGGCCCUCCUAUUACUUGGUUCCAUAGAGUUUUCAACUCUCCAACUUUUCCAAUCUAAGCCUCCAGCAACUCAUCAAUUACAGUUCAGUUUUCCCUACUAUGUCAUUGGUUUCUAAGGAUGUUUUUGAUUAUGGGUUUCUGUCCUGGUAAGUUGUAAUUUUUUGCAUCCACUUGUCUGUCUCUCCAUUUUGGGGUUUAGUGGUUUGCCCUGUGACCUCAUUUCUGUGAUGACUCUAAGAAGAGUUGUUGCUUUUACGGUUUGUUCCGUUUUUUACUUACUGUUAGAACAAAGACUUUCAAAUUUCCUACAUGCUAAACUGAAAACUAGAAGUCCAUAUUGUUAUUUGAAAGGAAAAAAAAAAUUUCAUAUCCAAGUAGGAGAAUAAAACUUUGAAAGCAAUUCUGAAUCCAAUUCUACAGUGUACUAUUGGCUUCUCUCAGUUCAGACUAGAACCUUUUUCAUGAAAUUUUUUAUUUCACUGGUUUUCUUUUCCAUUUCCAUGACCUCCACAAGGCACCUUGUUUUUGCUGGGUUCUAUUACCUGUUAUUGCCUCUUCACUUCUUGAGUGAACAGGGUAGACUUCAGUCGCCUGCUUAAAUAUUAAUUUCUCCAGUCUUUGAGCCAGUUUACAUAUUGAUGCAUCUUGCCCUCUCUACCAUUAUGAAGAUACCUGAAAUUACUGUGAGCUUGCUGAAAAUUUCAGCUUAAAAUAAUUUUUCUUUAGCAAUUGCCUGUUUUUCUGAGUUAGAAUGAACAGCAUGAAUCUUUGAAAUUGAAGAACAUGACAUGCAUACUUUAUAGUGUUUUGGUAAAGCUCUCUAACUCAUCUUCAUUUUGUCUACAUGACAGGCUUUUACCUUGAAAAGAUGUCCACAAACUCUGCUUGUUCACAAAAAUUCAGUAAAAUCUUGACAUCAAGUUUAUUUCUUUCUAUAUACAGAAGAGUAAGUUUCAGAAAAAGAAAAGUUAAAGAAAAGGCACGUAAAGCCGUAAUCUCUUAUCUUUUCUAAGAUGGUGGUAUCAGAAUGCAUUACCCUCCUUCUGAAAAGUCAUGAUAUCCUAAAACUGCAUGAAUACACUUUAGAAAAACGCUGCAGUUCUCGAUAGCUGCUUGCCUUGUGUCUAGAAUGUAACAGUAUGCUGCCUGUUUACCUCAGGCCAAAGUUGUCAUUUUCACUAUCUGGGCCACUACAUUUCCUCUGGCUAGAGGCCUGUCUUGUAUGUACUAGGGACUUCUGUUAAUGCUGGUGUGUGCAGUUACUCUACACUGAAUUGGAUUUUUGUCAUCUAUUUGAGGAUUACAUGCAUGAUAUGCCUAGUCAUUUUUUUCUUCAUUAUGUUACACCAAAUCUGAACUGAAAACCCUCCACAUUGUAAUGUGUGAGGCCCAAUUAUUCAGAUAGCAAACAGCAAUUAUAUAUAGAUGUAGGUAUUGAUAAGGAAAUGUAAAAUUCAGGGAACUUUCAGGCUAGGUCACAAAUUAAUAAAUUCCAGGGAAUUCAAGAUCAAUGAGAGAUUAAUAUUUACAUGAAUAGUAUUGUUUUUUGGAAACAAACAUGUUUCACCUUGAUUUAUGUUGCUAAAAUGUGCCUAUGGACUUGAAGAUUAUACAAUGGCUAAGUUGAGUUAGGUGAAGCACCAUGCAUUUGGCAAAGUGUGCUCAUUAACGUCCUCAUCCUGAAUUGCUUGUAACACUGUCACUCUCUGGAUAAGUAAAUGGAAGCACAGGCAGGCAAGCAAUGGCUAAGAAGCAGGAUGCCCAUGUCAAACUCUCUCCCUCAAAGUAAAGGGGAAGCAAGUGGUUUAAGUAAGGAGUCCAAAUGAAGACAGAUUUACUUAAGUGUAAAAUGUGAAUUCUGAACUAGAUGAACAUAAAGCCCUGUUCAGCUUUGUGAAUCUACGUUUCUAUGAUUAUCUUGAGUUAUUAAAAGUAAAUUAUGGUAGAUCAUAAUUAAUAAAGGGCCAUCUGUAACACGAAAUCCUCCUUUUUAAUUGGGCUGGGUGAGUUGCCCAAGAUAUUUAUUUUAGGGGAGAUAGGAGAUGUGGAAGAAACUGAAAACUGCUCUAUCCCCUCUCCAGGCACAGUUUCUCAAACUUAGCUGCAAAUAAAAAAUAGAAGGCCUGAUUUUAUUCAGUGCUAAAUUAGGGUGUUGAUAUAAGAUUAGGUGACUAGUAAUGCAAAAGUGUGAAUAAAGUAAAAGACCUUCCUAAUUGUAUGAUUUACAAUAUUUAACAAUCAAAUUACCAGCAAGUAAUUUUUCUGGAGGAGAUUAAAAGCUAAUUCUAUUUGCCAUUACUGAAUGAGUGCUGAUACAGGCCAACCACUAUUUUAAUAUUUUACAAGACUUACUUAUUUAAUCUUCAUAACAAUCUGAUAGAAUAGACAUAAUUAUUAUUCCCAUUUUAUAAAUGAGCAAAGUUUUGCCCAGAAAGAUAACAUUACCAAGAUCGCACAAGCAGAAGUGAGAGAGUCAGGUAUUACAAGCAGAUGCAUUGCUUAAAUAUUAGCUCCUCACUUCUGACAGUUGAUCUGAUACCCUUUGGAUGGCCUAGCAUCUGGUGGACCAGGCAUAUCAAUUCAGCGAGUGCGGUUUUCUGCCUAGAUAUUGUCUGUAGUGUAGAGGAGAAGACAAACUUGCCUGGAGGCUUUCUUCUAGAAUCAGUAGCAAUUUCUUAUCCACAAAAAAGAGAGACUACUCAUUCCUGGCCAUGGAGAUGAGAAAGUGUGCAUCUUAGCCUCUACCACUGACAGUAAAAGAUAACCCGAUAUCCAGAAACAUGAGAAAAACAACCUUGAGCAUAUUCCAUCAUAAACAUUUCACUGCCUUUAAUUUGAAACUUUUUAAGCUACUUGAGUAUUGUCAUCACCCUUUCAACCCCACUUCCUCCACCUUAGUGGGAACUACAUAGUCUAGCAUGGCAUAAAAAUCAAGUUUUAAUAGCAGGUAGAAUUGCAGAUUCCAGAUUUGCCCAUCAACUUGCCAGAGCUGCUGAAUAGUUUAUGACUCACACUGAGUUACACAUCUUGGCCACCGCUUUAUAUAUUCUAAUCUUGAAUCUAUUAACAUUCUCUUUUUCUGGACUGGCCUAAAAUGCCUGCCAUCUGAAUUAUAUUUUUAGGUUCAACAGCAAAGUUUUACUCUGUUAAAAAAAUACUUAUUGAGAACCCAUGGCUUGUGUAAAACAAUGCUUAAUGAAAAGGUAUAUAGAGAUAAAUAACUACAUUUAAGUUCUCAGUGAAUUUACAGUACAAUGUCUUAUCUCCACUCUACCACUGUUAACACACAUCCAUUAUUUGGGGACAAUAACAACAGCAGCCACAACACAACAGUAACUGUUAAGUAUGUAUUAAGAAUUUACUAUGAGCUAGAUAUUAUUACAAAUAUUUUGCAAAAUUUAUCUUGAUAAAUUUUCAUAAUAACCAAAUAAAUAUGUUGUAUUACCCUGAUUUUAUAAAUGAGGCAUCAGAAAGAUGUGGCUAUAAGUAAAUAAAAUAAAUUUAAAUAAAUAAAAUUUAAAAUAAUAAAUGAGGAAACUCAGGAACAGAAAAAUUGGAUAAUUUGGCCAAGAUCACCAGCCCAAACUCCUAAACACUGAGGAAAAUAGUAGCAUGGCCAGGGAGAGAGGAGUAUGUUUUCAUAAUCUUAGAAUCACGUAGAAACCAAGAUUCAGUUUUUAAAUAUGAGAACGCUCACUUUGGAAAUUCUAAGAGAGUGGUGUGGAGGGCUAGAGAUAUAGCGUAACCAUGUCUUAGCUAAGUAAAGGGGUUAGUUCAGACUUGAGUAUCAUGAAAGGAAUAAACUGCAAGGUGCACUGAAGACUUGCCUGUGUGGGCAAGUGGAAUGAGCACGUAGCUAGUUUUUUGGACAGUCCAAGGCACCUUGGGAGCAAUUGACAAAGAUUACUUUUCUAUACACACCUAAUGUUUUAGCUUAUUUGUAAUGCUGUCUUUUAACAUUUCUCCUGUACUGCCUCUCGGGACUACAUUUUAAAAUUUAGAAAAUAAAAUAAAUCACUAUUCACAAUGAACAGCCCUAUAAAAUCCACUCUUUGAGUUCACUUUUUCCUCUGAUUGUUCUUGCUGACCUUGGGAUACUCUUACAUGACUAGUUUUGAGUUUGAUGGUUGGGUCCGUAAAUGCACCACGAAGUCAGUUCUUGCACAUUGUACACAUUUUCAAAUAAAAUGUUCAGCUCUGCUUGGCAGUGCUGUUGUUUCUGGUGUGCUUAUCUCCUUCAGCAAGAAACAGGUGAGUUUGCAUUUACCCCUAUGUCAGGAAUUACAUGUGGAUGUUUGAGAUAAAUGGCACCAUAGCUUUGAUCUCCACCUCCUUCCAGUGGCAGACUGAGCAACUGGCUAACCUCUAUCUGCACCCGGUUCCUUACCCUGUGAAUUUCUAACAAACACUAAAGCCUUAUUUUAUAGAGGUUCAUGUGCUCUACUUUGUACAACAUAUGUGGCAAAUAGUUUUUUGUUUUACUAAUAACUUUACUCAACUUAUUAGUUUUAAGUAGAUGGAAAGCAACAUGUCAAUCAUGUGGAAAUAGUCAUGUGAUUUGAUAAGUCAACCAGUCAUGUUGACCUGCUGAAUCAUUUUUUUAGGAUAUUUUAUUAAAUUAUAGUACAAGUGGUUCUCAUUUUUCCACUGUUUUUAAUCAGGUCAAACCCCAAAAUCUUUUAAGAAACAUAAAAAAUAAGUAUACACAUUUAAUUAUCAUUUUAUGUCACCUGAGACCUGCAAUUUUUUAAAUUUCCCAGUAUUCAUUGAAUGUGUCACCAUGGAAUCAGAGAAAAUUAUUAAAUUAAGCAUCUUAUUAGUUACAAAUGUGUCUAGAAUUCACGGCAAAUAUAAUUUUAGGUUUGAAAUCACAGUGAUGCUGAAGACAGCAUUAUUCCUCCUUCACCUUCAUCUGAAAAUAGAUUGCUUCAGGGAGUUUGAAGAAUAAAAUAUGGAAAAAUGUGUUGUGUCAAUUUCCACAAGAUAAGCAAGGAUAUUAAAUGUAGCCUGAUUUGAGUAAUAAAUCUUUUUUGUACUUAACAAAAUGCAUCUUCCUUGUUAGGAUCCUUCAAGUUUUCUUCUGGCCAUUUCCUAAAUCUACUUCUUAUAAUGUAUGAAUUGAGAAUGCUGAAAUCUCCAAAUAGACCAUUAAAAGACAUACAUUGAAAAUAAAUGGCCUUGAAAUAUUUGGAUUAAAACUUAAAUCUCCCAUAGUAAAUUAAAUUAUUCCUCCGAUCUUCACAUUGCUUUCGGUAAUUGAAUCUCAUAGAAUAGAAGUUGAUUGUGGCAAUAUAUGGGCAUUGGAACAAUAUGUAAAAAGCAAUAAAACUAAAAAUUAAUCCACCUUCAUAUUUGGAAGUCUGUAGAAACAGACAAGGAGUUCGCUAAGUCACAAAAAUUAACUCAAAUGAGUCAGAGACAAAUAUUAUGUUCCAAGAAUAAUACCACGAUGCAGAGGAAAAUAUAGAUAGAAACUCUGUCAGAAACAAACUUUUAAAUUCUUGUUAUUUACAGUGUUUCCUGUGAACUAAGAAUCAAAGAUGUAGUGUUUCUAAAUGUUCUCCAUCCCUCCAGAUACCAAUCUUCAGGACUGGGAACAAGAAAUUAGACAGAAAUUGGGAAUUUCUGCAACCAUGUUAUUCUGAAAAUACGCCCAAGAUUUCUCAGAUUCUUUACAAAUUGUUAUGAAUAUCUUUUUUCAAUGUCUAAUAAAUACAAAAUUUUGAGUGUAGUGGUAUUUACAAGGACCUGUAGUGUAGGGUGAAUAUUUAAAUACUGGAAAUCACCAGUAAUCCUUAUUGGGCAGUAUUUGCAUAAUGUAACAUUAGGAUCAUCUAAGCAAGUUAAACGGCUCUAACACAGUAUCACGUGUUUAACUCGCUAUAUUAAGGUCUUAUUUUGUUUCCUAAACUUGCAUUUUUGGUCACCUUAUGUGCAAGAAUUACUCAUUAGCUGAAGAUAGGACCAUAAACAUCUGCUUAUAACAUGGCAAGAGCUACAGGUAAGACUGAGGAAAUCAUGAUCAUUUCUCUCCUGCCAACUCACGAAAAUGGUCACUUUAACCUUAGACCUUGCAUGUCAGCUUUGCUUCCUCCAAACCAGUUAAGUCUCUGUUAAUAUUCAAGCUUUAAUGCUCGCAGAAUAAUCAUUGUCCUGAUUUCUCAACUAAUUUUUUCUUGACAUCAAAAAUUGAGAAAAAAAUACAAAUUUCCUAAAAAAUAGAAAAAUCUACAUGGAGAUAUUAAAAGAUAAUAUACAUUUUUUACAGUAUAACUCUGAUAUUAGGAUUGUUGGGAUUAUGGGUUUAGUUUUUAUUUAAUAUUAUUUGGUAAUAUUAUAUCAACUUUGCAAUAGUAAAGGCUUGCCCUUACUGAGAUACUCUUAAAAAUUGUUUAAAAAACUAUAAGGCUAUUUAUUGAGAUAGUAAAUUAUAAAUAUUGAUAUAUGCUGCAUGAAAUGAGGUUCAGGCAAAAUUUAAGUGAGUGAUUACAUUACCUCAAACAUAGCUCUUUCUUACAUUAAAGAUCUUUCUUACAUUAAAGAUCUCCCAGCCAAUCAAUCCUUGUGGCUCUGUCCUUUUACCCUUUAAGAACUGCCAUAAAGGAUAAGAGGAAGCCUGAAUUUACUGCUUCAACCUGUAGUGAUUUUCUACCCUAAAUCUUAUAUCCUUUUGGGACUCAUAUCUUUAGCCAUUAAAACAACAACAACAACAACAACAAAAACCUCAGAAUGUCCACUUUUUCAGACGAUUUUAACUAACCAAUAACCUACCAAGAUAUUACAAAAUGGCAGGGACCUACAUUAAACUCCUGUGAUGUUUUGCUGCAUGUGCUGCAAUCCCCUAAUGUAGAUGUAAAAUAAAAACUCAGUAAGGAUUAGUCAAUAGAGUCAGAUUGUCUGAUAAAAUAGACUAUAGUUUUCUUGAUAAUUUGCACAGUGUUUUUAAUGAUUUCAUAAAAUUUUGACUUAGAAAAAAAUAAGGGCUCUACUUACUGAAUUAAACAGAAUCUCAAUUUAAUUGGCUGCCCAUCAGAUGACCUCCUUCUUAGUCUCAUCCUUGUUCCUGUUCUAAUAUGAAAUUCCUGCCAGUAUUUUCUUGAACAUGUUCUUUUUUAUCCUCUGAAAUCUGUAUGCCUCCACCUUUAAACUGGAGAUUUCAAAAAAAGUCUUCCUUUCUCUGUUAUCAUAAGUUUUUAAGAAUUGCAAAGUACCCAGAUUGCCUCUAUAUUAAAGUAAAAUAUAAAUUUCAUGUCAUAGAGCCAUACAAAAAUGACAGUCAUUUAGUUGUUUAGUUGCUCUGGUAGCUUACAAUGCGUUGGUUCUCACUGUAUCUCAAUGAGUUACAUAGGCUUCACUUUUAGUAUACAUGAUUGACUGUGGGGCUUAAUAUUGAAUAAAAUAGCUGCUAUAGAUGCUCAAAAUAGGCAUAAUCAAAGGUUUUUACUCUCUGUGGCAUGUGUCAUGUUAGAACGGAAUUUUCACUGGAAGGUAGUAUGCCCUUGCAGAGAAAUCUUAGUCCCGGGUAAAAAGUGGGAAGAAACACCAAUGGAUCUAUAGCACAUCUCUAGCCAUAAGCAUUUCUCUCCUUUUUUUGGAAUCAGGACAUAAAUUGUCAAUUUAUGUUGUCUAAACUAAUGUAUUCUUCUUUCUCAAUCAUGUAUUCACUUAAAAAAUACACAAGGACAUAAUGACCAGUCUUUUUUCACCCAUUAUGUAAAUGUAGACAUAAUUUUUAUAGGGACAACUGGAAGAUCAUCUUUGUGAGAGACAGAGACAGACCUUGGAGCAAAACCUCAAGAUAAUGUUCCUCCAACAGCACCAUAAAACAGCUAUCUAUCUGACCUACUCACAAAAGAGGUCUUUUACUGCAUCCUUUGCCAAACUGUAUACUCUCACCUAGGUUUUUAAAACUUUCCUGAAAUUGAAUAGCUACGAUUAUAUUUACACUAUUUACCUCACAUUGUUGUUAGAAUCGAAUCAUCCAAUAAGUAGGGAGGUGUUUUAAGAAUAAUGCUAUCCAAAUGUAUUAUAACAAAGGAUGCUCUUAAAUGCCACAUUUUCCAAAAGAAUAGAAAAAUUAAAAAACUUUUAAAACACAGGAAAUACAGCAACUUAUAUAAAACCUUCAGGGAUAUGUAGGAAAUGUAAUGAGGAUACAUCUCUAAGAACAAAACAAAGGUAAGCAAAGCAAACUUAAAAAAAAUAGGGUCAGAUCCACAAAAUAUCUAUGAAACGAUCAUCAGAAAAGAACACUGCUAUAUUUUCCAUCUGUCAUCUCAGACUACCUAUGUCUCCAAUCAGACAUUAGGCUCUGUUUUACAGAUGAACCAAAUUCUACAGUUAGAAUGUUUGCUCCAAACACAGCUGGAUUAAGGAAGUGUCACAAAAUAUUAGAUUAUUUUAGAGCCAAGGGAAGUCUUUCCUCUUUACACAUAGUAUGAGAUUGCCCUAGGCUGGGUGCCAUGGCUCAGGCCUGUAAUCCCAGCACUUUGGGAGGCCAAGACAGGUGGAUCACUUGACGUUAGGAGUUAGAGACCAGCCUGGCCAACGUGGCAUAAUCCCAUCUCUAGUAAAAAUACAAAAAAAGAAAAAAUUAGCUGGGUGUGGUGGUGGGAGCCUGUAACCCCAGCUACUUGGGAGGCUGAGGCACAAGAAUCGCUUGAACCCAGGAGGCAGAGAUUGCAGUGAGCUGAAAUCAUGCCACUGCACUCCAGCCUAGGUGACAGGUGAGACUCUGUCUCAAAAAAAAAAAAAAAAAAAAAUUUGCAUACGGCUAAGCAGUUUUCCCAACACCAUUUAUUAAAUAGGGAAUCCUUUUCAUACUGCUUGUUUUUGUCAGGUUUGUCAAAGAUCAGGUGGUUGUAGCUGUGCUAUCUUAUUUCUGAGAUCUCUAUUCUGUUCCAUUGGUUUAUGUGUCUGUUUUGGUACCAUUACCAUGCUAUUUUGUUUACUGUAGACUUGUAGUAUAGUUUAAAGUCAUGUAGCAUGAGGUCUCCAGCUUUGUUCUUUUUACUUAGGAUUGUCUUAGUUAGACAGGCUCUUUUUUGAUUCCAUAUACAAUUUAAAGUAAUUUUUUCUAAUUCUGUGAAUAAUGUCAAUAGUAGUUUAAUGGGAAUAUCAUUUCUUUGGGCAGUAUGGCCAUUUUCAUGAUAUUGAUUUUUCCUAUCCAUGAGCAUGGAAUAUUUUUCCAUUUGUUUGUGCCCUCUCUUAUUUCCUUGAGCAGUGGUUUGUAGUUCUCCUUGAAAAGGUCGUUCACGUCCCUUGUUAGCUGUAUUCUUAGGUAUUUUAUUCUCUUUGUAGCAAUUGUGAAUGAGAGUUCAUUCAUGAUUUGGCUCUCUGCUUGUCUAUCGUUGGUGUAUAGGAAUGCUUGUGAUUUUUGCACAUUGAUUUUUGUAUCCUGAGACUUUGCUCAAUUUGCUUAUCAGCUUGAGGAGCUUUUGGGCUGAGUAGAUGGGGUUUUCUAGAUGUAGGAUCAUGUUGUCUGCAAACAGAGACCAUUUGAUUCCCUAUUUGAAUACUCUUUAUUUAUUUCUCUUGCCUGAUUGCCCUGGCCAGAACUUCCAAUACUAUGUCGAAUAGGAGUGGAGAAAGAGGGUAUCUUUGUCUUGUGCUGGUUUUCAAAGGGAAUGCUUCCAACCUUUGUCCGUUCAGUGUGAUAUUGUCUGUGGGUUUGUCAUAAAUGGGUCUCAUUAUUUUGAGAUAUAUUCCAUCAAUGCCUAGUUUAUUGAGAGUUUUUAAAAUGAAGGGAUAUUGAAUUUCGUCAAAAGCUUUUUCUGCAUCUAUUGAGAUAAUCAUGUGGCUUUUGUCAUUAGUUCUGUUUAUGUGAUGAAUUACGUUUAUUGAUUUACACAUGUUGAACCAGCCUUGAAUCCCAGGGAUGAAGCCAACUUGGAAAAAAAAAAAAAAAGAUUGCUCUUCUGAUUCACUGAAAUUGAAACAGAAAGAAAGAAAAACACAACUUAUUAGUCAAUAAUUUGAACUCCUCCUCUUAGCAGCAUCUCCUGGUCAGCAUUAUAAUAAUUAUUCAAAAGCAGUGAUUCUGAAUAUGCAAAAGCAGUGAUUCUGCAAAUACUCUCAGAAAUUCUCAGAUCAUUUGAAACAUCUACUAUAAGUUCUCAAAAUAAAUGAGAAAAUAUUACUGUAUUAUUUAAACAAAGUCCAUUUCUUUGUUAUAAACCACUGACUACACCCCAGGAAUACUUCAAGGAAGAAAGGACACAAGAAGAUUUCGGGGAACAUACAAACAUCAGGCUAGGCUUUCCAUACAACAGAAGAUCUUCAUCUAACUAAGCCAAGAGGAGAAUGCUGGGUGAGGCUCAAAGAGCUUCAAUGACUUGCCUCAGAAAUGACAGGAUGGACCUUGUGUAACCCAGUGAUGUAUUCAUAAUCGACAGUUGCCAAGUUGAUGCUCCAUUAUUACCUUGAGUUUUGAUGAUCCUUUGAUAUGCCAUGACCCAACAGAGAUAAGGUGUCCUGGGAGUGGAGAAAGGGCAGUUUCAUACAUGUUGUCAGCAUGUCACAUGUUUUUUCAAUAUUUAAGGAAGGAAUCUGGAGAAACAGGAAUCUGGAGUUGAAUUCCUCUAUGGUCAGAUGGUAUCAUGACCUCAUCAUUGGCGUAGUUUCCUCUCCAGGAAUGGAACAUUGAAGAGAGGAAAGAAUCAUAGACUUUGUUUGUAUCCUGCCAACCCUCAACAGAACAGACUGCAAUAGGGGAGGAAUGGACGUAACCACUAACAGUAAAUAACUCUUCUCCAGGAAGCAUUUCCAAAGAAGUCCAUCACACCUUUGUUCUUGGCAAACAUCCUCACUUUUCUGGUUUGCUUUGAAAAGCAACAGGCAGCAUGUACACAACAAACGUCACCCAGGAAAUAGGCAAGCAGUAAGUGUCAUGGAUUCCUCUAUUUGCUCAGUUCUUACAGAAAAUCUUAUACAUGGACUAGCAAACUGCACAAGGACAUUAUUUGUCUUGCCCAAACCCUGCAGUUGGUGUUGUCUUUCUUCUCCUGGUGCAGGCCGAUGUCCUAGUCCACCCAUACAGCUUUUUCUCCUCCAUGAGUCCUGUUCUGUUUCUACUAGUACUUCCUGAGCCAUAUUGUGUCCCUUACUACUGGUGAGCUCUAGCUAAAUUAUGGAUCCCAUGACAACAACAUGGGCUAACUACAGCCUUUUUACAUAUUUAAAGACAGAGUCUAAGGAAGAACAAAAACAACUUUUUACAAUGAGAUUCAUAACUAAAGAUGCAUUUCAAUGACUUCUCCUGCCUCUACCACCACAAAUACGGCAGAUUUAGUGCCUUAGUUACAUCAUAAUUGCUCAGGAAAAAGCAGACUGACAUUUCAACUGCUUGUUAGCUACAACUAUAGAGACUUGAACUUUGUUUUUCUAUAUAAAGGGCUACAUUCACUAUCUGUUUUAAUUCUCAAUUUAAUUUGAGCUGGAAUCACAUAUGAUGUCAAAUAAAGAAGGUCAGGUGUGGUGGCUCACGCCUAUAAUCCCAGCACUUUGGGAGUCUGAGGUGGGUGAAUCACCUGAGAUCAGGUGUUCGAGACAAGCCUGGGCAACAUGGUGAAACCCUGUCUCUACUAAAAGUACAAAAAUUAGAUGGGUGUGGUGGCUCAUGCCUGCAGUCCCAGCUACUCAGAAGGCUAAGACAGGAGAAUUGCUCAAACCUGGAAGGUGGAGGUUGCAGUGAGCCAAGAUCGUGCCACUGUACUCCAGCCUGGGCAACAGAGCAAGACUCUGUCUCACAAAAAAAAAAAAAAAAAAAAAAAAGCAAAAAUGAUCCAGGAAGAGCAACAAAGAAUUUGAUUUAUAGUCCUGGGUUUAAUUUCCCAGUAAAAUAGUACAAGCUAUUUUAUGAUGGCAUACUUGGAAAGCCAUGAACCUAGACACAGGUACACUGUAUAAACUCAGUGUGACCUUGCCAAAAGACGCCAAAAUGGAAAGUAAAGAGGUUCGGACUAGUGAACCUCACUUGUACAAGAGAUGAGAAUAGCCAAAUACAUAGGAUCUAACAAAUAAACUAGAAUUAGAGAAUCUUGUUUGAAAAGAAAAUAAAUCUUGGGGCCCCAAAAUCACUAAGCUAAAGGGAAAAUCAAGCUAGGAACUGUUUAGGGCAAACCUGCCUCAUAUUCUAUACAAAGUCGCCCCUCUGCUCACUGAGAUAAAUGCAUAUCUGAUUGCCUUCUUUGGAGAGGCUAAUCAGAAACUCAAAAUAAUGCAACCAUUUGUCUCUUUUCUACCGAUGACCUGGAAGCCCCCUCCCCACUUCAAGUUGUCCCUCCUUUGCUUCAAGAUGGAACCAAUGUUCAUAUUACAUAUGUUGAUUGAUGUCUCAUGUCUCCCGAAAAUGUAUAAAAUCAAACUGUGCUCUGACCACCUAGGGGAAAUGUCGUCAGGACCUUCUGAGGCUGUGUCAUGUGUGCAUGUCCUCACUUUGUCAAAAUAAACUUUCUAAAUUAACUGAGACCUCCCUCAGAUAUUUGGGGUUCACACCAGCUUUUCUUUGUUCUGACUUUUAACUGUAUUGUUUUUGGGCAGGGCAAUUUAUACAUUUCCUAUGGGGUCUCCAUACUACUGUAUUUCUUGUAGUAUGGUUAAAGGUACUUGAAAUAACUUCAACAUGGAAAAUGGAAUCUUGACACCUAUGAGUAAAAUAAAUGCAGGCACCUUUUGUCUGUGAGUUUCAAUGAGCAGAUGAGAAGGGAUUCUCUAGCCCAUGGAGAAUAAGGGUUAGAGUAUCAGCCUAUGAGAGUCAAGUGGGGAGUCAAGAACUUUGUGUUUCCAGGUGGCCAGCAACACUUCCCCUUUCUCCUCUUCUCCAAAGGAGUUUUGGGUUAGUCUUACCUGGUUAGGAGAGGGAUAGCAAUUUUGUCAAGCAGUUCUGAUAGCUGUAAUAGCAAAAGGACAGAAUACGGUGAUUACCUAUUACCUCAGGUUGCCCUGGAGAGGAGAUUCAAGGACUGUCUCUUUUAUGAAUCAUAUUUGAGUAGCUCUGGGUAUUAUUGAGAAUGGCCUUGCAUUAACUACUCAAGGGACUUAUGUAUAAGUAACAACCAACCACUUUAAUGAUAGCAUCUUGAACAGGUGACACUCUUACAUUUUAAAUACGUUUUGCACUUAAUCUAAACUGAUUAUAAAAUCACAUCAUUAUGUUUAUAUAUUUAGGCUACAGAUUUCAGCUCAUUUCAGAAAUAAUCGGGUUAAAAAGAGAGAACUUUUGAUAGAAGUGAAAAAGGACAUUUUGGGGUGUGGUUCUCAUGCACCUAAAGGCGAUUUUGGGGAGAUCAUCCUACCAAAAUGGAAAUUUGGAAAAGGAAAGAAGAAAGCUCACAUAUUAAUAUUUUGAAACAUUAGUAUUGUACAGAUUUCCAAGGGCAGAGAAUAUGAUUUGUCUGCAUACCUCUAGAUGGAAAGUUCAAUACUCAAUAGAAGUAAUUAAAUAACUGGAAUCACAAAUAAAGGAAGACGACACUCACGCCAUGGAAGGAGAUUUUCCUUUCUUUCUUGGCCUUCCUACUUUAACUUCUGCCUUCCCUUUGUACAACGGAAAAUCUCUCAUCCCGUACCCUUCCAUCCUACCCCAGACCUAAAUGUGCCUUACCUUUUGAGAAGAUCUGUCAGAGGUGUUCUAUUCAAGAACAACUCCAUCUUGAAUAGAAGCUGGGCAACAUAAUGCUGAGACCUACUGGGUUGCAUUCCCAGAUGGUUAAGGCAUUCUAAGUCACAGGAUGAGAUAGGAGGUUGGCACAAGAUACAGGUCAUAAAGACCUUGCUGAUAAAACAUUGCGGUAAAGAAGCUGGCUAAAACCCCCAAAACCAAGGUGACCAUGAGAGUGACCUCUGGCUGUCCUCACUGCUACAUUCCCAUCAGUGCCAUGAUAGUUUACAAAUGCCAUGGCAAGGUCAGGAAGUUAUGCUAGAUGGUCUAAAAGGGGAGGUAUGACUAACCCACCCCUUGUUUAACAUAUCAUCAAGAAAUAACCAUAAAAAUGCGCAACCAGCAGUUCUUGGGGCUGCUCUGUCUAUAGAAUAGCCAUUCUUUUAUUUAUUUACUUUCCUAAUAAACUUGCUGUCACUUUAUGGACUCAUCUUGAAUUCUUUCUUGUGCGAGAUCCAGGAACCCUCUCUUGGGGUCUGGAUUGGAACCUCUUUCCCAUAACAGUUCCAGAACCUGCAAGGUAAGGAUGAGGUCGCAUAAAAGCUUCGGAAGUUGGAAGUUGGAGAAAUUUGGCUUUGAAUCUUGUUUUAAAGAUAGGGGCUCGCAAAUAGAAAACUAAGUCAGAAAGGAGGCAAAUGCAAGAUCAUUCACAGGAGAACUUCCUAUGUGAAAUCAAAAGACAACAAAUGAUGUUGGGUAGGAGCAAGAAUCCAAGUGACCAGAGGGACAAAAUGUGACUUGGGGUGGUUGUGAGAAAAAAAAAUCUGUUCAACAAGAAUAUAGACUCAGAGAGAGAGGGGGAUACACUUUCUUCUGUGAAGAUGAAAUGUGUAAGCAGAGGGUAGAGGCUAAUGGGAAAAGACAUCUUCCUGGGAUGCUUGUCUCUGUACUCUUCAAGGGUUAUCUUGCUCUGGGCAUUUAUAAUGGCUUUUCUCCAUUUUCUCCAGUGAAGUCCAGUUUUCUAAUCAACUCUCAUGUCAAUCCUAUAUCUUUUUCAUCUGCCUUAAGGAUUCCUUGCAUGUGCGAGCAGGAAAGUCUUUGAGAUUCUUUAACACAGUCAACUAACAAAUGGGAAAACUAAGGAUCUGGUCAAAUAAGUGACUUAUUGUCACUAGAAACAGUUGUGGCAAACAUUUUUAACAAAUCCAAAUUUUCUUAGUCUUAUUCCAGUUUUCUUUUUAGCGUGCCAGGCUGCUUCCAGUUAUUUCAUUUCUCCUCCUUCUGAGAACUCUGUGUGUGUGCACAUGUGCAUUUGUAUAUGUUGGUCUCUUAUGUAUAUGUUAAUAAGGAUGGUUAUCUAAGGGACAAAAUUACUCAGUAAGAUAUGAAAAGGCUUCUAAGAUAUAUUUUGAAGGUUAAUAUAACUGCCAAAUGUGUUCAAAUGGAUUUUAAUUUACUCUUUAACAAUUUAUUUGCCUCUGUCUGUCCCCUUGGAGCAAUGCCAUCAAAUAGAAAUAUAAUGAGAGUCACAAAUACAAGUUGCGUAUGUAAUUUUAAAUUUUCAAGUAGUUACAUUUAAAAAGCAAGAUGAGCAAAAUUAAUUUUAAUAAUGUUUUUCUUAGCUUAAUAUACCCAAAAUAUUAUCAUUUUAACCUGUAUUCUAUAAAGAAGUUAUUAUGCGAGUUUUAUAUUUUCUCACAAUGAGUCUUCAAAGCUGGUGUGUAUUUUACAUUUUUAGCUCAUCUAAAUUUAGAAUAGCCACAUUUAAGGUGUUCAACAGCCAUAUCUGGUUAGUAGCUACCCUAUCAGGCCUUAGAGUAUAAUUGUUUAGGCACAGCCCUUAUUCAGUCACAAAAAUCGUAGCCAUUGCCCAUUUAAUAGCUAUUAUUUUGGUACCAGA
Molecule: long non-coding RNA, 19247 nt
Filed under: Homo sapiens (human)
Lineage: Eukaryota; Metazoa; Chordata; Mammalia; Primates; Hominidae
Description: HSALNT0180609
Source: RNAcentral